CCAACAGGGAUUGCCCCAGUAACGGCGAGUGAAGCGGCAACAGCUCAAAUUUGAAAUCUGGCUCUCGGGCCCGAGUUGUAAUUUGUAGAGGAUGCUUUUGGUGAGGUGCCUUCCGAGUUCCCUGGAACGGGACGCCAUAGAGGGUGAGAGCCCCGUCUGGUUGGACGCCGAACCUCUGUAAAGCUCCUUCGACGAGUCGAGUAGUUUGGGAAUGCUGCUCUAAAUGGGAGGUAUAUGUCUUCUAAAGCUAAAUACCGGCCAGAGACCGAUAGCGCACAAGUAGAGUGAUCGAAAGAUGAAAAGAACUUUGAAAAGAGAGUUAAACAGUACGUGAAAUUGUUGAAAGGGAAGCGCUUGUGACCAGACUUGGGCUUGGUUGAUCAUCCGGGGUUCUCCCCGGUGCACUCUUCCGGCCCAGGCCAGCAUCAGUUCGCCCUGGGGGACAAAGGCAUCGGGAACGUGGCUCUCUCCGGGGAGUGUUAUAGCCCGUUGCGUAAUACCCUGCGGCGGACUGAGGUUCGCGCAUUCGCAAGGAUGCUGGCGUAAUGGUCAUCAGUGACCCGUCUUGAAACACGGACCAAGGAGUCGUCUUCGUAUGCGAGUGGUUCGGGUGUCAAACCCCUACGCGAAAUGAAAGUGAACGCAGGUGAGAGCUUCGGCGCAUCAUCGACCGAUCCUGAUGUUAUCGGAUGGAUUUGAGUAGAAGCA
This 708-nucleotide ribosomal RNA is filed under the name Fusarium mori. RNAcentral's name for it is "partial large subunit ribosomal RNA". It matches the Rfam family "Eukaryotic large subunit ribosomal RNA", at positions 65 to 802 of the family's 3401-position model. The record is from RNAcentral. Lineage: Eukaryota; Fungi; Ascomycota; Sordariomycetes; Hypocreales; Nectriaceae.